CGCGCAGGUGGCUUAUCAAGUCUGGUGUGAAAGCCCAGGGCUCAACCCUGGAACUGCAUUGGAAACUGGUAGGCUUGAGUCCGAGAGGGGCCUGUGGAAUUCCUGGUGUAGGGGUGAAAUCCGUAGAGAUCAGGAGGAACACCGGUGGCGAAGGCGACAGGCUGGAUCGGCACUGACACUGAGGCGCGAAAGUGUGGGGAGCGAACA
This 207-nucleotide ribosomal RNA is filed under the name uncultured bacterium. RNAcentral describes it as "partial 16S ribosomal RNA". It matches the Rfam family "Bacterial small subunit ribosomal RNA", at positions 568 to 774 of the family's 1533-position model. The record is from RNAcentral.